AACGCACCUUGCGCCCUCUGGUAUUCCGGAGGGCAUGCCUGUUUGAGGGUCCUGACAUUUUCGCCCGCGGGUUCGCGGGGCGGACUUGGGGGUGGCCGGUGUGCGGGCCUCCGCUGAAAGGCGUUAGUGGUGUGGAGCCCAGGCGUGAUAAGUGUCGCCCGGGCGUGAAGCCGCUGCGAACUGUGGUUGUGAUUGAGACCUCAAAUCAGGUAGGACUACCCGCUGAACUUAA
RNAcentral lists this unclassified non-coding RNA (232 nucleotides) under uncultured fungus. RNAcentral's name for it is "partial contains 5.8S ribosomal RNA, internal transcribed spacer 2, and large subunit ribosomal RNA". The stretch from base 1 to 52 matches the Rfam family "5.8S ribosomal RNA", at positions 103 to 154 of the family's 154-position model. The record is from RNAcentral. Lineage: Eukaryota; Fungi.